ACCUCGGUAGCUCAACCGGCAGAGCAGGUGGCUGUUAACCACAAGGUUAGAGGUUCGAGUCCUCUCCGGGGUG
This 73-nucleotide transfer RNA is filed under the name Deferribacteraceae bacterium. RNAcentral describes it as "tRNA-Asn". It matches the Rfam family "tRNA". From Rfam's summary of the family: Transfer RNA (tRNA) molecules are approximately 80 nucleotides in length. The record is from RNAcentral. Lineage: Bacteria; Pseudomonadati; Deferribacterota; Deferribacteres; Deferribacterales; Deferribacteraceae.